AGAUUGAACGCUGGCGGCAUGCCUUACACAUGCAAGUCGAACGGCAGCACGGGAGCAAUCCUGGUGGCGAGUGGCGAACGGGUGAGUAAUACAUCGGAACGUGCCCAAUCGUGGGGGAUAACGCAGCGAAAGCUGUGCUAAUACCGCAUAAGAUCUACGGAUGAAAGCAGGGGAUCGCAAGACCUUGCGCGAAUGGAGCGGCCGAUGGCAGAUUAGGUAGUUGGUAGAGGUAAAGGCUCACCAAGCCUUCGAUCUGUAGCUGGUCUGAGAGGACGACCAGCCACACGUGGGACUGACGACGACGGCCCAGACUCCGUACGGGAGCAGCAGUGAGGUAAUUUGGACAAGUGGGACGAA
This 357-nucleotide ribosomal RNA is filed under the name uncultured soil bacterium. RNAcentral describes it as "bacterial SSU rRNA". It matches the Rfam family "Bacterial small subunit ribosomal RNA", at positions 26 to 379 of the family's 1533-position model. The record is from RNAcentral.